UAUAAACAUACAAGAUUUCAUGUAAACAUGACAGAUUUCAUUACAAAUACAUCAAAGCAGUCCUAGGCGGGCUCUAGAGUAUAAUUAAUACAUAAUCUAAAUGAUCGCCGGCGUCCAGUUCCCAUCUCCGGCCAUCAGCCCGGAGAACUGAAGCUUCACCAUCUUCAGUUCCGCCUCGGCGCUCUCCAGCUCCGCCUCCGUGACCUUCGCCUCCGGAGCCCCGGGAACUGAAGCUGUCUGCCUCGACGUCGCUACCAAGCGACUAAUCGGGCCGAAGAUGCCCAGCCCACCAAACUUGGCGUCGACGGGAUUGGAGGAGGCGUGGCCUUCCUGGGACUCUUCCUCGCUGCCGGCGACGCCAGCGGACGUGCCGGCUUAUUCGUGGUCGUGGUGCCGGAACACAGCCUCGGCGAUGUCCUCCUCGUCGGUGUCACCGAACAACGCCUCGCCCACGUCGUCAUCGCACUCGUUGCCGGCGGCCGCCACCUCCGCCAUCCACUGCCGGUACCAUCAGUGGGCGAAGCGGAUCUCGCCGACGGAGCGGUAGAACUCGAGCAACGCCUUCCAUGUCCGCCUCUUGCAGAGGAUCCCGCUUCGGCGCUUCCCUACUAGAACCUACUUUACUGACAUCCGACAUAAGGCUAUCCAUUGGCGACUCCCCUGCUUCCCUGGAGCAAGAUCCGGUGGUGGCCCAUCUCCCUAUCGCUCGUCGUCGUCGUCGGCGGCCAGUCCAGAUACGGUGCUUCCCUGGAGCCCACUGCAGUUGCUCCAUGCCUCCCCCUCCCCCUCCAACUUCCAGGUCACCUCGCUUCGCCUCCCAGGCAUCCCCGACGUCGCGCUGCACACCAUUGACCCUGGACCCCGCCGCCGCCACCAUGGUCUCCUCCUCCCCGGCGGCUGCCGGUGUCCCAACGGCGCAGCUGCUCAGGAGCCACCAUAUGGCCUUCUCCGUGCCAGUCUCCAACCCGGACGGUGACUGAAAUUCAGCUAUCUGAAUUUUGGUGUAGAAUGCACUUUCUGCUCUGGGCUUGAUGGAUAGUUCAGAGCUGGAUAUAGAAAGGAUCUUUGUUAAGCUACACUUUCGCAAUCUAAUCAUUUGGUUUGGUGUCUAGAAAAGAAAAUCCAGGCUUGGAGUUGAAAGUGGUCCUAAUUAACCUAUGUAGGUUCGAGAAGGCAUUGAUUCUUUACAUGAAUGUGCUUCCUGUUAUGCAGUGGAAAAUAAUGCCGUGUCGCCAGCUCGUUCAUGACAACCAUCUAUUCAGAUUUGCUCCUAUCUAAUUAUGCAAGAAACUUAUUUAUAUCUUACAAUA
Molecule: non-coding RNA, 1310 nt
Organism: Aegilops tauschii subsp. strangulata
Lineage: Eukaryota; Viridiplantae; Streptophyta; Magnoliopsida; Poales; Poaceae
Source: RefSeq, a predicted model, not a curated record